AGGAGAAACAUCAUUGAGUGCAGCGUUGAUGAAUUCCCCUACAUGACAUAUUUCUGUUGGUUAAUUCAUUACCAAUAUCCCUUCUUUAAAAAAAGAAGUAAACCUUUUUGGGAAUAGAUGGUUUUGGAUGAUUUCACCAGCGCUGCAUUCAAUCAUGUUUUUC
This is a non-coding RNA of Ricinus communis (castor bean), 163 nucleotides long. NCBI's taxonomy places the organism in Eukaryota, Viridiplantae, Streptophyta, Magnoliopsida, Malpighiales, Euphorbiaceae. The record is from Rfam.